AUGUAGACACUAUCGCGAAUACUGUUACCAUCCUAUUCCAUCCUGGAAGUAAAGAAAAAUGAUCUUCUUCUUCAUAACCUUGGUAGUUCUUGGUCAAAUGGUCAGUGCUGACCAACAGCAACAGUUGGCUUUGUCUUUAGCUUCUUCAGAUUUCUCUCAAAGACUUUACCAGAAGGUAGCUCUGGACCAGUCUAAUGUCGUCUACUCACCUUACAGCAUCCAUUCAUGUUUAACAAUGACGUCUCUUGGGGCAAGGGGAGACACUGCAACUGAAAUAAAGAACGUACUUGGCAUUACUUCCCUUGGUAACUCGGUGUUUCAAAUUUAUGAAGAGCUUAUUCAGCAGGUAA
Biomphalaria glabrata is the source of this 350-nucleotide long non-coding RNA. RefSeq lists it as uncharacterized. The transcript is spliced from 3 exons. The record is from RefSeq and is a predicted model, not a curated record. NCBI's taxonomy places the organism in Eukaryota, Metazoa, Mollusca, Gastropoda, Planorbidae.